This 465-nucleotide ribosomal RNA is filed under the name uncultured bacterium. RNAcentral describes it as "partial 16S ribosomal RNA". It matches the Rfam family "Bacterial small subunit ribosomal RNA", at positions 28 to 506 of the family's 1533-position model. The record is from RNAcentral.
GAUGAACGCUGGCGGCGUGCUUAACACAUGCAAGUCGAACGGAAAGGCCCAAUCUUGCUUGGGUCCUCGAUUGGCGAACGGGUGAGUAACACGUGGGUGAUCUGCCCUUCACUUCGGGAUAAGCCUGGGAAACUGGGUCUAAUACCGGAUAGGACCACCUUUUGGAUGGUUUGGUGUAAAGUUUUUCGGUUUGAGAUUAGCUCGCGGCCUAUCAUCUUGUUUGUGGUGUAAUGGCCUACCAAGGCGUCGACGGGUAGCCGGCCUGAGAGGGUGUAAGGCCACAAUGGGACUGAGAUAAGGCCCAGACUGCUACGGGAGGCAGCAGUGGGGAAUAUUGCACAAUGGGAGCAAGCGUGAUGAAGAGACGCCGCGUGGGGGAUGACGGCCUUCGGGUUGUAAAAAAAAUUCGCUAGGGACGAAGAGUGAUGGGAGGGUACCUGGAGAAGAAGCACCGGCUAACUACGU